Molecule: transfer RNA, 67 nt
Filed under: Microtermes obesi
Lineage: Eukaryota; Metazoa; Arthropoda; Insecta; Blattodea; Termitidae
Also listed under: 1 other name
Description: tRNA-Ile
Source: RNAcentral
AAUGGAGAGCCUGAUUAAAGGAUUAUCGUGAUAGGAUAAAAUAUGUAGACUCAGUCUACCCUCAUUA